AUUGAACGCUGGCGGCAGGCCUAACACAUGCCAGUCGAGCGGAUGAAGGGAGCUUGCUCCUGGAUUCAGCGGCGGACGGGUGAGUAAUGCCUAGGAAUCUGCCUGGUAGUGGGGGAUAACGUCCGGAAACGGGCGCUAAUACCGCAUACGUCCUGAGGGAGAAAGUGGGGGAUCUUCGGACCUCACGCUAUCAGAUGAGCCUAGGUCGGAUUAGCUAGUUGGUGGGGUAAGGGCCUACCAAGGCGACGAUCCGUAACUGGUCUGAGAGGAUGAUCAGUCACACUGGAACUGAGACACGGUCCAGACUCCUACGGGAGGCAGCAGUGGGGAAUAUUGGACAAUGUGCGAAAGCCUGAUCCAGCCAUGCCGCGUGUGUGAAGAAGGUCUUCGGAUUGUAAAGCACUUUAAGUUGGGAGGAAGGGCAGUAAGUUAAUACCUUGCUGUUUUGACGUUACCAACAGAAUAAGCACCGGCUAACUUCGUG
This 484-nucleotide ribosomal RNA is filed under the name uncultured bacterium. Its description in RNAcentral is "partial 16S ribosomal RNA". It matches the Rfam family "Bacterial small subunit ribosomal RNA", at positions 30 to 507 of the family's 1533-position model. The record is from RNAcentral.